GAUGAACGCUGGCGGCGUGCCUAAUACAUGCCAGUCGAGCGAACGGACGAGAAGCUUGCUUCUCUGAUGUUAGCGGCGGACGGGUGAGUAACACGUGGAUAACCUACCUAUAAGACUGGGAUAACUUCGGGAAACCGGAGCUAAUACCGGAUAAUAUUUUGAACCGCAUGGUUCAAUAGUGAAAGACGGUCUUGCUGUCACUUAUAGAUGGAUCCGCGCUGCAUUAGCUAGUUGGUAAGGUAACGGCUUACCAAGGCAACGAUGCGUAGCCGACCUGAGAGGGUGAUCGGCCACACUGGAACUGAGACACGGUCCAGACUCCUACGGGAGGCAGCAGUAGGGAAUCUUCCGCAAUGGGCGAAAGCCUGACGGAGCAACGCCGCGUGAGUGAUGAAGGUCUUCGGAUCGUAAAACUCUGUUAUUAGGGAAGAACAUAUGUGUAAGUAACUGUGCACAUCUUGACGGUACCUAAUCAGAAAGCCACGGCUAACUACGUG
This 497-nucleotide ribosomal RNA is filed under the name uncultured bacterium. RNAcentral describes it as "partial 16S ribosomal RNA". It matches the Rfam family "Bacterial small subunit ribosomal RNA", at positions 28 to 507 of the family's 1533-position model. The record is from RNAcentral.